AUGAGUUUCAUACGGAGGUUUCUGGAGGAGUUAGAUAUAGCCAGCGCGCACAGACCCAAGGCCAAUGAAGUUCGAGCGAACCGGUCGAUAGCUAAAGUUUGGUUACCACCCCCGGGUGAGGCGGCAAAAUUUAACUGUGAUGGUGGCUUGUCAACGUUGGGGGACAAGGGGGCAGCAGGAGUAGUUUGCCGAGACAAACUUGGGAAAUUUUGGGGUGCUUCAAUGACGGUUUUUGAUGGCCUGACCGAUUCGGCGUCUCUGGAGGCACUUGCAUGCAGCGAAGCACUAGCCCUAGCUCGGGAUUUGAAUCUUCAAGAUCUUGCCAUCGCUUCAGAUUGUGCAGAAGUGAUUUCCAAUAUAAAAUCUGCAAGCUUUCCAUCUUAUGCUCCUAUUCUUAGAGAAAUUCAAACUAGUAGCAAUAAUUUUAUUUUGAUUGAUUUCUGUUUUGAGAGUAGAUUUAAUAAUUUUGAGGCCCACUUGCUAGUCAAGGGAGCUGUGUCUCUCGCGGUGGGCCGCCAUGUGUGGCUAGGGGUUUUACCAGACAUUGCCUGUAUUCCGGACGUGGUGAACCUUUAA
RNAcentral lists this ribosomal RNA (576 nucleotides) under Triticum aestivum (bread wheat). Its description in RNAcentral is "partial small subunit ribosomal RNA". Lineage: Eukaryota; Viridiplantae; Streptophyta; Magnoliopsida; Poales; Poaceae. The record is from RNAcentral.